CAACGCUAGAGGUUAAAGUGCAGUGUCCUGAAUAUGUCUCCUCUGCAGCCUGCUAUUCGCCAUAACAUCGUGGUGCUUAUCCGGGAAGAGAGAGCUGGAAACCACUGCGCAUGUCUGCCUUGUGAAAGAACUACAAAAGGAACACGGGGUGCGCUCCCUUGGGUGGAAUCCACUAGUAGCAGGAGAGGUGCUAGACGUGAAGUCAGAAACGCGCUCACCUGAUGGGGUUGUGCGAAUUGAUGCACAACAUUCGAAUCGUUUCAUACAAUGUCCUGGGCGGCGGCUGCGGUGGCUCCCUGCGUCCAAAGUUACACGACAUGGGAGAUAAAUUGCGCUGCCACCAACGAUCAUUUGAGGAAUUUAUUAAAGUGUCUGCCAAGGUCCCUACCCCCUCUCCACUAGCUGAACUAAUGUGUAACCCCCUCCCAGCUAUUAUUCACGGCACAGAAAGAGAUGAUAAUCAGCCUGAUGGACACAGGGAGUUAAAGAAAAGUAUGGUGCAAGAGUAAAGGUAAAGU
This is a long non-coding RNA of Hyla sarda, 518 nucleotides long. RefSeq lists it as uncharacterized. The transcript is spliced from 3 exons. The record is from RefSeq and is a predicted model, not a curated record. Lineage: Eukaryota; Metazoa; Chordata; Amphibia; Anura; Hylidae.